CGGCGGACGGGUGAGUAAUGCCUAGGAAUCUGCCUAGUAGUGGGGGACAACGUUUCGAAAGGAACGCUAAUACCGCAUACGUCCUACGGGAGAAAGUGGGGGAUCUUCGGACCUCACGCUAUUAGAUGAGCCUAGGUCGGAUUAGCUAGUUGGUAGGGUAAAGGCCUACCAAGGCGACGAUCCGUAACUGGUCUGAGAGGAUGAUCAGUCACACUGGAACUGAGACACGGUCCAGACUCCUACGGGAGGCAGCAGUGGGGAAUAUUGGACAAUGGGCGAAAGCCUGAUCCAGCCAUGCCGCGUGUGUGAAGAAGGCCUUCGGGUCGUAAAGCACUUUAAGUUGGGAGGAAGGGCUCAUAGCGAAUACCUGUGAGUUUUGACGUUACCAACAGAAUAAGCACCGGCUAACUUCGUGCCAGCAGCCGCGGUAAUACGAAGGGUGCAAGCGUUAAUCGGAAUUACUGGGCGUAAAGCGCGCGUAGGUGGCUUGAUAAGUUGGAUGUGAAAUCCCCGGGCUCAACCUGGGAACUGCAUCCAAAACUGUCUGGCUAGAGUGCGGUAGAGGGUAGUGGAAUUUCCAGUGUAGCGGUGAAAUGCGUAGAUAUUGGAAGGAACACCAGUGGCGAAGGCGACUACCUGGACUGACACUGACACUGAGGUGCGAAAGCGUGGGGAGCAAACAGGAUUAGAUANCCCUGGUAGUCCACGCCGUAAACGAUGUCAACUAGCCGUUGGGAUCCUUGAGAUCUUAGUGGCGCA
Molecule: ribosomal RNA, 759 nt
Filed under: Pseudomonas oryzihabitans
Lineage: Bacteria; Pseudomonadati; Pseudomonadota; Gammaproteobacteria; Pseudomonadales; Pseudomonadaceae
Description: bacterial SSU rRNA
Rfam family: Bacterial small subunit ribosomal RNA
Source: RNAcentral